RNAcentral lists this ribosomal RNA (897 nucleotides) under Meruliopsis pseudocystidiata. RNAcentral's name for it is "partial 28S ribosomal RNA". It matches the Rfam family "Eukaryotic large subunit ribosomal RNA", at positions 72 to 955 of the family's 3401-position model. The record is from RNAcentral. Lineage: Eukaryota; Fungi; Basidiomycota; Agaricomycetes; Polyporales; Irpicaceae.
GGAUUCCCCUAGUAACGGCGAGUGAAGCGGGAAGAGCUCAAAUUUAAAAUCUGGCAGUCUUUGGCUGUCCGAGUUGUAGUCUAGAGAAGUGUUUUCCGCGCUGGACCGUGUACAAGUCUCUUGGAACAGAGCGUCAUAGAGGGUGAGAAUCCCGUCUUUGACACGGACUACCAGUGCUUUGUGAUGCGCUCUCAAAGAGUCGAGUUGUUUGGGAAUGCAGCUCAAAAUGGGUGGUAAAUUCCAUCUAAAGCUAAAUAUUGGCGAGAGACCGAUAGCGAACAAGUACCGUGAGGGAAAGAUGAAAAGCACUUUGGAAAGAGAGUUAAACAGUACGUGAAAUUGCUGAAAGGGAAACGCUUGAAGUCAGUCGCGUCGACUAGAACUCAGCCUUGCUUUUGCUCGGUGCAUUUUCUAGUAGACGGGCCAGCAUCAGUUUUGAUUGCAGGAUAAAGGUCAGGGGAAUGUGGCACCUUCGGGUGUGUUAUAGCCUCUGAUUGCAUACUGUGAUUGGGACUGAGGAUCUCAGCACGCCUUUAUGGCCGGGGUUCCCCCACGUUCGUGCUUAGGAUGCUGGCGUAAUGGCUUUAAACGACCCGUCUUGAAACACGGACCAAGGAGUCUAACAUACCUGCAAGUGUUUGGGUGGUAAACCCGAGCGCGUAAUGAAAGUGAUAGUUGGGAUCUCUGUCGUGGAGAGCACCGACGCCCGGACCAGACCUUCUGUGACGGCUCCGCGGUAGAGCAUGUAUGCUGGGACCCGAAAGAUGGUGAACUAUGCCUGAAUAGGGUGAAGCCAGAGGAAACUCUGGUGGAGGCUCGUAGCGAUUCUGACGUGCAAAUCGAUCGUCAAAUUUGGGUAUAGGGGCGAAAGACUAAUCGAACCAUCUAGUAGCUGGU